CCCCUAGACGUUCUGGGCUGCACGCGCGCUACAAUAAUACGCACAGCGAGUAUCACCGAGCUCGAAAGGGCAAGGUAAACAAUAGAAAAGGUACUGUAAUGGUUAUAGAUCCUUGUAAUUAUUGAUCUUCAACGAGGAAUUCCUAGUAAGUAUGUGUCAUCAUCACGCACUGAUUACGUCCCCGCCCUUUGUACACACCGCCCGUCGCUCCUACCGAUUGAGUGAGCCGAUGAAACUGCCGGAUGUGGACUAUUCAUAGUCUGCAGAAGAUAUUUGAAUCGUAGCGCUUAGAGGAAGGAGAAGUCGUAACA
RNAcentral lists this ribosomal RNA (311 nucleotides) under uncultured eukaryote. RNAcentral describes it as "partial 18S ribosomal RNA". It matches the Rfam family "Eukaryotic small subunit ribosomal RNA", at positions 1470 to 1796 of the family's 1831-position model. The record is from RNAcentral.